GACGAACGCUGGCGGCGUGCCUAAUACAUGCAAGUAGAACGCUGAAGGAGGAGCUUGCUUCUCUGGAUGAGUUGCGAACGGGUGAGUAACGCGUAGGUAACCUGCCUGGUAGCGGGGGAUAGCUAUUGGAAACGAUAGCUAAUACCGCAUAAUAGUAGAUGUUGCAUGACAUUUGCUUAAAAGGUGCAAUUGCAUCACUACCAGAUGGACCUGCGUUGUAUUAGCUAGUUGGUGAGGUAACGGCUCACCAAGGCGACGAUACAUAGCCGACCUGAGAGGGUGAUCGGCCACACUGGGACUGGGACACGGCCCAGACUCCUACGGGAGGCAGCAGUAGGGAAUCUUCGGCAAUGGACGGAAGUCUGACCGAGCAACGCCGCGUGAGUGAAGAAGGUUUUCGGAUCGUAAAGCUCUGUUGUAAGGGAAGAACGAGUGUGAGAGUGGAAAGUUCACACUGUGACGGUAUCUUACCAGAAAGGGACGGCUAACUACGUG
Molecule: ribosomal RNA, 495 nt
Filed under: uncultured bacterium
Lineage: Bacteria
Description: partial 16S ribosomal RNA
Rfam family: Bacterial small subunit ribosomal RNA
Source: RNAcentral